This 466-nucleotide ribosomal RNA is filed under the name uncultured bacterium. RNAcentral's name for it is "bacterial SSU rRNA". It matches the Rfam family "Bacterial small subunit ribosomal RNA", at positions 329 to 792 of the family's 1533-position model. The record is from RNAcentral.
CUCCAGACUCCUACGGGAGGCAGCAGUGAGGAAUAUUGGUCAAUGGGCGGAAGCCUGAACCAGCCAAGUCGCGUGAGGGACUAAGGCCCUGCGGGUCGUAAACCUCUUUUGCCGGGGAGCAGUGGUCCGGACGCGUCCGGACCGGGAGAGUACCCGGAGAAAAAGCAUCGGCUAACUCCGUGCCAGCAGCCGCGGUAAUACGGAGGAUGCGAGCGUUAUCCGGAUUUAUUGGGUUUAAAGGGUGCGUAGGCGGAACAUUAAGUCAGCGGUAAAAUCGGGGGGCUCAACCCCUUUAAGCCGUUGAAACUGGUGCUCUUGAGUGGGCGAGAAGUAUGCGGAAUGCGUGGUGUAGCGGUGAAAUGCAUAGAUAUCACGCAGAACUCCGAUUGCGAAGGCAGCAUACCGGCGCCCGACUGACGCUGAGGCACGAAAGCGUGGGGAUCGAACAGGAUUAGAUACCCUGGUA